Molecule: ribosomal RNA, 298 nt
Filed under: uncultured soil bacterium
Lineage: Bacteria
Description: partial 16S ribosomal RNA
Rfam family: Bacterial small subunit ribosomal RNA
Source: RNAcentral
AGAACGAACGCUGGCGGCAUGCCUAACACAUGCAAGUCGAACGAGACCUUCGGGUCUAGUGGCGCACGGGUGCGUAACGCGUGGGAAUCUGCCCUUGGGUUCGGAAUAACAGCGAGAAAUUGCUGCUAAUACCGGAUGAUGACGUAAGUCCAAAGAUUUAUCGCCCAAGGAUGAGCCCGCGUAGGAUUAGCUUGUUGGUGAGGUAAGAGCUCACCAAGGCGACGAUCCUUAGCUGGUCUGAGAGGAUGAUCAGCCACACUGGGACUGAGACACGGCCAGACUCCUACGGGAGGCAGCA